AUGCCUAUAUAAUAGAAGUGAUGUUAGUUUUACUUAUUACAAGAAAUAAAAUAGAACGUGAAAUCAAACAAAAUGGCAUUUCAAACCAAUCAAUCUUAUCUAUUUGAUAUACUCUGCAUUUUUAUGAUGAUGAGUUCAGGAUUCGUUGCUAGUGUGGUGGUACCUCCAGGAGGAGUAUGUACGGUGCCUUGCACUGCAACUUGUGAUAGAGAUUGUCACGACAAGGGAUUUCAGAAAAGUGGAUGCUUUACUCAUCUUGAGAAGACGACUUGUUGUUGUUUUCACUAAUGAGUUCUAUUGUAUCAUUGCAAUCAAAAUAAAGAAAUAAAAAUGCUCUUGAACAUGGCAUUGAAACUUACAAUGUGUAAGAAUCUCUAUAAAAACUAUGAACAUGAUUGUCAACGUGUGUGAUUCAAAAUAAGAUCUAAUUUAUAUAAUUUUCAUUC
Molecule: long non-coding RNA, 446 nt
Organism: Medicago truncatula (barrel medic)
Lineage: Eukaryota; Viridiplantae; Streptophyta; Magnoliopsida; Fabales; Fabaceae
Exons: 2
Source: RefSeq, a predicted model, not a curated record